This is a long non-coding RNA of Mirounga angustirostris (Northern elephant seal), 4301 nucleotides long. RefSeq lists it as uncharacterized. The transcript has 3 exons. NCBI's taxonomy places the organism in Eukaryota, Metazoa, Chordata, Mammalia, Carnivora, Phocidae. The record is from RefSeq and is a predicted model, not a curated record.
AGCCCGGGGCCUCCGGCUCCCGCUUGACUCAAGGACACACCCCUCAGCCAGCCAUUGGUGCGGCCGCCAAGUUAGCCCCGCCCCUUUGCUUACGUAGGAAAAAGAUGUCUGUGGUAUUAGAGAAGUUGCCUGUCAUUCCUCCGCCCUGCGGCGUUGCUACGGUUUAGGUCCCACCCCUUCCCCUUUGAUCUUGGAAGCUUCUUGUUUAUUGGCCAUUGAUUGGCCAACAUAUAAGAACAACCCGCCCACUGAUUUUUCUUGGGGGCGGGAGAAACUUAAGGGAGAACUUUGAUAGGCUCAACCACUCUUGAUACUUUGACCGCGGCCAUUGGCCCUCACCACGUCGGGAUCCGAUUGGCUACGGGAAGAGAGCGAAGAGCCCAGGGGCGAGAGAGAACGGAUUUGGGCCCCAGACUAGCGCCUGGGGAGCUGCGGGUGCUGCAGGCGGGGUUCUCUCGGGGUGGGGGUGGGGGUGGGUGCCAGGCCUUCAAGGUCAAACCGCUGCAGUCAGCCGUUAGAACUGCGUUCGAGCGCGGGCCCCCAAAUCCCCAGACACGCGGGGUCGCGGGCUGGCGGGCGGCCCUGGCCCAAGAGCUCUGUUCCCGCGGGAUCUCGGGCGGGCGUGAGGUGGAGCCAGCUUGGGCCGGGUAUACCCUGGCGCGGCCCGCGGGCCUGUCCGGGAAGCUGUUGCGACAUGCGGGCGGAGGCCCGUUAGACUCCGGUUGGAUCUGGCGCGCUGUCUCCCCGCCCCAUGCCGCGCGCGAGCCGACUCCUGAGGGCCCUGUGCUCCUCAGGCCUCGGCGUGCCGCCCUGGGCUUGCACCCGAAGUCGCCCAGUAAACCCUGCGGUUGUUGAAUGAAUGAGUUCUCGGGGCCCGUUGUCGCUGGGUCCUGCGCCAGGCCGAGAGCUGGAGGCAGGAAAAAGAGAUGUCGAAAUGGGGCGGGAUGAUUCAGAGAUGACGACAGGUGGAGAGGCCGGUCUGGAGGCAGCUGCCCAAACAGCACAGAAAGUACGGCGACUAUGGAGAACCUCCGACAUAGAGUUUUUCCCUGAGCUGACGCACUGAUGACCACCACUGCCUGGUGGUGAUUGCCUUUUGUGAUAAGACCGCUGUCUCUCCCAGGCUGGUCGGGCGGGUCGGCCAGAGUUUGAGAGGGGCACUCACUGGUUAAAGAACAAUGCCAGCGAUUCCCAGCCUGGAGCACCACCUCCUGGGCCGUGACGUUGCGCGGGAGCUACACGAGGGUUGCCGGCUCUGUUGGGGAACGCAGGAGCUUUCUGCGUUCCUCCGUAGUCCCUGCUUCAGUAUCCCUUCUCUGGAGCGUGUUUGCACAAGCCUCCCCAGUGUUUCCAGCUCUGUCCUUACUACCUAUUUUACCGAGAUGAUGAUGGAGUUGUGAACUUCUCCAUCUCGGUAUAGCUUUUCUUUAAGGAAGAGGCUUUCCUUUUUUUCUUUAAGCGAAGCCCUUCUCUGGGCCUCUGGGGGUUUUUGUUUGUUUUUAACUGUUUUACUCAUCUAUUCUCUUUCUCUUAGCAAUGGUUAUUAACCUUUGGGUCUGGACCUUUGCGAAAGUAAGGAAACUACAAAUCCUCUUCCCUCCACUUCCCACCCCCCAUACACACACCUAGGGGUCCAUGAUCUUUAGGUUAAGAACCCUUCUCUACAUCUUCCCUCUUCUCUAGCUCGCUUCCCUUGAGAAAUGAGUAGGUAGGUCUCCUCAAAAGAUAAACCACUGAAUCCUGCUAGAGUACUAAUUCCCUCUACUGCCAAACUACUACAGUAAUGAGCUAUACCUGCUAUAUCUUUUCUCUCCUUAACCCCUAUAUUUAAAUUUUUUUUCUUAUUUUUUUUUUAAAGAUUUUAUUUAUUUGAGAGAGAGAGAACACGAGCAGGGGCAGCCGGCGAAGCACACUCCCUGCUGAGCAGGAAGCCCCAUGCGGGGCUCCAUCCCAGGACCCUGAGAUCAUGACCUGAGCGGAAGGCAGAAACCUAACGGACUGAGCCACCCAGGCGCCCCAACCCCUACAUUUUCACUCCUUUAUUCAGUGGCCACAAAUGACCUUUCCAAAUGCAAUAGUCUUUUUCUUAUUCCCUCUUGCCCCCACUGACCCAUCCCUCAUUGAAAUUUUUUCCUUCCUAGGAACCACUUAUUCUACGUUUUAGACUUCUCAGUCUCCUACACUUCUCUAAACACCGAGGGAAAACAUUCCUAAAGGGUUAAUGCUUCUUGUUCAUCUUCAAUACCUUAGAGAAACUUAAUCAUUCCAAAUCUGUUUUCCCCAUUGGACCUAUAUUUCUCCUUUCUUUCUCUCUUUCUCUCUCUUUCUUUUCUCUUUCUUUCUUUCUUUCUUUCAACUUAAACUUUAGUGAACAUACAGUGCAAUAUUGGCUUCUGGAGUAGAAUUAAGUGAUUGAUCACUUACAUAUAACACCCAGUGUUCAUGAUAACAAGUGCCCUCUUUAAUACCUAUCACCCAUAUAGCCACACCCACCCACUUCCCUCCAUCAACCCUCAGUUUCUCUACCAUUAAGAGUGUCUUAUGGCUUGUUUCCCUCCUUUUUUUCUUUUCACCGUUGCCAUGUGUUCAUCUGUUUUCUUUCUUAAAUUUCACAUAUGAGUGAGAUCAUACGGUAUUUGUCUUUCUCUGACUUAUUUCACUUAGCACAAUACACUCUUGUUCCAUCCAUGUCAUUGCAAAUGGCAAGAUUUCAUUCUUUUCCAUGGCUGACUAAUACUCCAUUGUAUAUACAAACCAUGUCUUCUUUAUCCAUUCAUCAGUCAAUGGACAUUUGAGCUCUCCUCAUAGUUUGGCUAUUGUUAAUCAUGCUGCUAUAAAGAUCGAGGUGCAUGUGUCCCAUUGAAUCUGUAUUUUUGUAUCCUUCGGGUAAACACCUAGUAGUGCAAUUGCUGGAUCAUAGAGUAGUUCUAUUUUUAACUUUUUGAGGAACCUCCAUACUGUUCUCCAGAGUGGCUGCACCAGUUUGCAUUCCCACCAAGAGUGCAAGAGGGUUCCCCUUUCUCUGCAUCCUCACCAACACCUGUUGUUUCUUGUUAAUUUUAGCCAUCCUGAUGGGUGUGAGAUGGUAUCUCAUCAUGGUUUUGAUUAGAUUUCCUUGAUGAUGAAUGAUGUUGAGCAUCUUUUUUUAGCCAUCUGGAUGUCUUUUUUUGAAGUGUGUCUAUUCAUGUCUUCUGCCCAUUUCUUAACUGGGUUUUUUGUUUUGGGGGGUUCAUUGCACACUUCUUAACUGAAAUUUCCAUGUGAACAUUCAGUAAAUAUUUAUUGAGGACCAGUUCUGUGCCUGGCACUGUACUUGAAGCUGGUGACACAGGACACAGUCCAUGGAGCUCUCAUGGAGCUUGCUUUUUAAUGAGGGGAGGGGGAUAGACAAAAAUACCAGUUAGCUCUAGGUACUAUUCUGAUAACUGAAAUAGGGAGAUGUGAUAAAGUGUGACUAGGUGGCUACAUUUAUUGGGCCAGGGAAAGCCUUUCUGAGAAGAUGACACUAAAUGACAGGCAGGAGCUCAUGAGGAACCCAGAGAAGAGCAUUCCAGAAGAAACAGUAGAUACAACAACCCUAAGGUACAUGGUAGGAUUGUUCUUCCCACCUCCUUAAUGAUAGGCAUGGCUGUGGAUUUGCUUUGACCAAUGAAAUGUGAGAGAAGCGUGAGAGCCACACACUAACUUUCCCUGCCACAUGACUGGUGAUGUUUAGAAGGUCCCAUCAGCCUGAGGCCCUGGUGAAGAUGAUGAAGCAAAGUCGCCUACUUGCCACCCCUUUCCUCCCAGAUGGACGUUCACCAUGAAUUAUUGGCUAUACCAUUUCACACCCCCUGGGAUGGCUAUAAUCAAAAACACAGAAAAUACGUGUUGACAAGGAUGUGGAGAAAUUGGAAUCCUCACACGUCGCUGCUGGGGCCGUAAAAUGGUUCAGCCACUGUGGAAAAUAGUUUAGCGGGUCCUCAAAAAGUUAAACAUAGAGUUACCGAAUGACCCAGCAAUUCCACUCCUCGGUAUAUUGAAAAGAAGUACUUAAACAAGUACAUGUAUAUGCUUGUUUAUAGCAGCACUUUUCACAGAGGCAAAAGGUGGAAACAGUCUAAGUGUCCAUAAACAGAAGAAUGGAUAAACAAAUUGUGUUCAUACACAAGAUGAAUAUAAUUCCACUGUAGAAAGGACUGAAGGAGUGACACAUACUACCAUGUGAAUGAACCUCGAAAAUAUGUUAAAUGAAAGAAGCUACUCAUAUGAAAUAUCCAGAAGAGGUGCCUCUGUAGAGACAGAAUGCAGACUGGUAGUUA